Molecule: long non-coding RNA, 348 nt
Filed under: Ananas comosus (pineapple)
Lineage: Eukaryota; Viridiplantae; Streptophyta; Magnoliopsida; Poales; Bromeliaceae
Description: long non-coding RNA (ACOM_LNC004097)
Source: RNAcentral
UUUUUUUUAUACAUAUAUAAUGUAAGAUAAUAAAUAUUUUAAUUUUUUGAUAAAUAAAUAUAAAAUUUUUUGGACAAUAUAAAUAAUUAUAUAUAACGGAUAAUUUUUUUAAAAAAAUAUAUGAACUAUUAAUCAGAAUUUUAUUAACUUUAAUAUGCAUGAGAAAUAUAACAAUAUUUUAACAAAAUUAAUAUUUUAUAUAUAAUAAAUAUAUAUUUUAUUAUAUUAAUAAUAUUUUAUUUUAUUAGUAGUAUCCAUAUCGUAUCCGUAUUCUAAUUUUUUGAAAGUUGUCGUGUUCAAAACAUGUCGUGCCCCAUAUUUUGUGUCGGUGUAUGUGACGUCUAGUGG